GGAGCUAUGGCUCAGUGGUAGAGCACUUGCCUAGCAUGCAAGGCCCUGGAUUCAAACUCCAGCACCACCC
RNAcentral lists this transfer RNA (70 nucleotides) under Ictidomys tridecemlineatus (thirteen-lined ground squirrel). Its description in RNAcentral is "Spermophilus tridecemlineatus (thirteen-lined ground squirrel) tRNA". It matches the Rfam family "tRNA". Rfam says of the family: Transfer RNA (tRNA) molecules are approximately 80 nucleotides in length. Their secondary structure includes four short double-helical elements and three loops (D, anti-codon, and T loops). Lineage: Eukaryota; Metazoa; Chordata; Mammalia; Rodentia; Sciuridae. The record is from Rfam by way of RNAcentral.